This is a long non-coding RNA of Eucalyptus grandis, 2753 nucleotides long. RefSeq lists it as uncharacterized. The record is from RefSeq and is a predicted model, not a curated record. The transcript has 9 exons. NCBI's taxonomy places the organism in Eukaryota, Viridiplantae, Streptophyta, Magnoliopsida, Myrtales, Myrtaceae.
CCUCAUGCAAAAACUUUGUCUGUGGUUUUACGACAAAAUCCUCAUGAUGAUCAUCCGUGCCGUGCAGCGUGGUCUCCCGGUCGUGGAUCAGCGUUUAAGGCCGCAUGUCUAAGCUAGUUUUGUAUAAGAUGCACUCGGGCCUUUCUUCCGUUUAUAUGAAAACAUAAGGAGUCCCCAAGCCUUCGGCAUCAUCAAAUUAUCUCCCAACCAUAAGAAAGGAGAGCAGGGGACAAGUACAAACCACCUAUGAACGGUGAUGGACCUUGUAGCGACUAGAUCUGAUUAAGAUAGGCUAAGCCCUCAAAAGAAAUUGGGAUCUACUGUUAUUGAAGAGAUAGAAGAUAACCUCAGCAAUCGUUUUGACGAGUAGGUCUACUCUAGUAGCCAGAAUGUGGGAGUCAUUACAUCAUAUAGUGUUCAUUUGACCUCUGAGAGGUGACAACUAGAUCUUUGCUGUGGCACAAGCAUUAACUUGCAAUCUAAGACUACAUUGUCUUGCUGGCUGAUUGACAUUCAAGUUGCCAGGGCCAAGAGAACAACAAUCUUGGAUGUUGACUCUAGCAGUGAGUCCAAUUGACUUGCAUAAGAAUGCAAGUUGAAAAAUCAAACAGAAAGCCCGGUUAUUGAAACUUCAAUAGGAAAGUUAAGUUCAAAGGCGUUCCUCCACUCCAGUGGUGGGUUGAAGGCAGGGAUAGCAGAGUGGCAUAAAAGAUGACAGUCUGGAACUGGGAGGAUCACUGCCACUGUCAGUUUGGAGUUUAGUUGCUACAAGGUGCAUUCCCAUUCAUGGCUAGAUACACGACUGUGCGAGGCGAAUACGGCUGCACUCUUCCACCAUGCCAUACACGAGACUGCACCUCAUGGAUUAUUAUGAGAAUGAGUUUGCAGUAAAACCACAGCCAAAGUUUUGAAUGGGGCCUUGCAACAGACUCACGGAAAGCAAGAGGAGUGGCACGAACCAGGGAACGGAGUGGAAGGAGUCAUGGAACAGCAACCAAGCGAGUGAAGCCACCGAUAUCGAACCGGUGAAGUCAAUGAGGAAGGAUGAUGCUUCAUCACAAGAAGGAGCAUGGCUGCCAGAUAAGCGAAACGCAGCAACAAGAAAUGCAGGAGCAGGCUGCAGAUGGCGACGAUGGUGGUGACCGGAAUGACGAGUACUUACAUCAUAUAGUCAGCACUUUUCCUCUCAGAGGUGACAACUAGAUCUUUGUUGCUGUGAAUGCGUCAACUUGCUUCAGCAAAUAAUAUUUAUGAAGGCAGCGACUUCUUUUGUGAUGGCUCCUGAGCUAGAAUUGUAGCUUCUGUCAGAGACUCAAGUUGCCAGGGCCAAGACUGCAGAUGUUAGAAUUGAACUUUCCCAUCUUCAUGUGCUGGAAAAGAAUUUUUGCAGUUCAUGAAUGCAAAGCCCUGUAGGUAGUUUGCAAAGGCUGAGACUAGUCCAUGCAAACUAUUCACAUCUGACAUUUAUUUUUCAAAGAAAUAAUAAGACCGGCAAGCUUCCUGACAAGUUGAUUCAUAAUCAAAUUAUGCAUCCCUAUAGAAUAACAAUCUCAGAUGUCGAGUGUCUGCAGUGAUCCCUGUAAGUUGAAACAUCAAACAGGAAGGUGGUCUCCCGCCUCCACAAUUCUUUUCUUAUCAAUAAGUGCCUACCCAACUCUUCAACUACAUGCGCUUUGGUUGCAUCUUUUUGAGACCAGCAUUGCACAUCUUUUUUUUUAGUACCCUCAGUUGUGUGCUCGCUCUGUCCUCUUUUUCCUGCAGAAUUGCAAUUGUUUCAUCUAGUUCAGCCACGGCAGGGUCUUCAGAUGCUUCCACUAUCCCAGCAACCUGUAUUUGGUACUAGCAAGUUUUCUGUUAAUUAUUACUUAUUGUGGAGGAUGAGUCUAUCUAUAUGAUGUUAAAAAGGAGCAAGGCUAUUCACCACAGCAAAUGGCGCUGGCAGCAUCUUGUAUCCAUUAGAUGGAUAAAGUCUAUUUGGUAAGAGAGCACUUCUGGGAUGAAAAUGCACCGUGGGUCAAACGCAUUUGAUAUGAGUAAUCGAUGGGCAAGGGCUUACAUUGCAGUCAUAAGCACCCAGAUUCAGGUCCCUUGUCUUCUUGUAAAGGUCACAGUAGUACUCACUGGUAUCAUUUUAUCGAAGCGUAAAGUGUGAGUUGAUGGAAGUUAAUGGGAACCUUUUACUGUAGUGGAAGGCAAUCUGUGAUGAUUAAGAUUGCAAUGCAGACAACUGUAAAAUUCGAACCUGCAAAGUUUACAGCAGAGCAUCGACACUCUUCAUGACAUGUCAACAGUGCUCCAUCCUGAUAUGAGAAGAAGGUAGGAUGUGCAGGUGAACAGGUUGUUGCAUAACUGAGGGCAAUUCAGCACAUGAUUUAUGGAGCAGGAAAGAGCACCUUUGCUCCAGCCAGCGAUAGGCUAAACAUUUGAUGCAUUCAUCAGAAGCCUUGCACGGACCAGCCUUCAUAUGACAGUUCCAGCCGCAGAGGGUGAUCGUGCAGUGCAGAAAGAAGGGGCAACCAAGACAACCAUGGACCUUUGCACCUGAUUCUGUUUUAGAGCUUUGUGUGGAAGACCAGUGGAUGCUGACGGUCGAAAUGGUAGAGAACCGAGUCCUUAGUGCCUCCAGAUCUUGCGAACAUAGAGAUAAAGCCAUGCAUGCAAUCCAUGUCGAGGCUGAAUUUGCAUUUUUUGCAAUCAGAAACCAUCAUAAGCAACUAAAGACACAUUUGGUAACGUUGCUGUUCUAGGAAACA